AGGACGAACGCUGGCGGCGUGCUUAACACAUGCAAGUCGAGCGGAAAGGCCCUUCGGGGUACUCGAGCGGCGAACGGGUGAGUAACACGUGAGUAAUCUGCCCCUAGCUCUGGGAUAGCUCCGGGAAAACCGGGAUUAAUACCAGAUACGACCACUUUAGACAUCUUCUGUGGUGGAAAGAACUUCGGCUAGGGAUGAACUCGCGGCCUAUCAGCUUGUUGGUGAGGUAACGGCUCACCAAGGCGACGACGGGUA
RNAcentral lists this ribosomal RNA (255 nucleotides) under uncultured bacterium. RNAcentral's name for it is "partial small subunit ribosomal RNA". It matches the Rfam family "Bacterial small subunit ribosomal RNA", at positions 26 to 285 of the family's 1533-position model. The record is from RNAcentral.